AAUGAACGCUGGCGGCAUGCCUAACACAUGCAAGUCGAACGAACCCUUCGGGUGUAUUCGCGCAUGGGUUCGUAACCGGUGGGGUCAUGCCCUUGGGUUUGGCCUAACUCUCCGAAUGGGGUGCUAAUACGGGAUCAUGUCUUCUAACCAAAGAUUUAUCGCAUUUGGAGGUGCCCUAGUUGGAUUAGCUAGUUGUUAGGGUAAAAGCCUACCACGGCGACGAUCCAUAGCUGGUCUGAGAGGAUGAUCACCGACACUGGGACUGGGAAACGGCCCAGACUCCUACGGGAUGCAGGAGAGGGGAAUAGAGGAAAACGGGGGAAAGCAUGAUGCACUAAGGCCGGGUAAGUGAUGAAGGCCGGAGGGAUGUAAAGCUCUUUUACCCGGGAUGAUAAUGACAGUACCGGGAGAAUAAGCUCCGGCUAACUCCGUG
This 433-nucleotide ribosomal RNA is filed under the name uncultured bacterium. RNAcentral's name for it is "partial 16S ribosomal RNA". It matches the Rfam family "Bacterial small subunit ribosomal RNA", at positions 29 to 507 of the family's 1533-position model. The record is from RNAcentral.